GAUAUUUGUUAACAUUUACAUUUACUGGGCUAAACCAUGGUCCAUAUUUUUUUAACAGAAUAUCAUUAUUUAUUUUUACAAAAUAUAUAUUUUUCCAUUUUUGUUGAAGUAUAAUUGACAAAUAAACACUGUAUACAUUUAAGGUAUAUGUAUACACUGUGAAAUAAUCACCACAAUCAGGCCAAUUAACAUAUCCACAGUCUCACAAAGUUACUGUUUUUGUUUUUUUAACAUGGAUGAAGCUGGAGAACAUCAUACUAGGUAAAAUCAUCCAAUACUGCGUGUUCUCACUUAGAUGUCAAAUCUAAAUUAGUUAAAGUCAUAGAAGCAGAGAGUGGAAUGGUGGUUGCAGGAGCUGGGAGGAGGGGAAAAUGGGGAAAUGUUGGUCAAAGAAUAUAAAGUUUCAGUUAUGCAGGAUAAAUAAGUUCUGGGGAUUUAACGUACUGCAUGGUGAUUACAGUUACUAGCACUGCACUGUAUGCUUGAAAUUUGCUAAGAGAUCUUAAGUGCUAUCAGAGAAAGAUGUAUCUACCUUUUAUAAAUGUCCAUUUCUAGUCUGAAAAAAUAAAUUUAUUCUCUAACAGCUGGCUGUGAGAUUCUAUAUGUCUAUUAGAUAAAGCCUGCUAAUUUUGCUAUACAAAUAUCCUACAGUCUUAACACUUUUACUGCUUGAUCCAUUAGUUUCUGAGAGAUAAGUAUGAACAUAUUCUACCAUGAUCAUAGAUUUGUGAUUUUUCUUUGUACAAGUUCUAAUAUUUUUGAUGUUAUGUGUUUUGCUUCUAUGUGUUAGGUGAUUAUAAAUCAGCAAUAAUACAUAUCUUUCAUGUAUAUUUUUAGUAUUAUCUUAUCCUUAAUGUUUAUUUCAUUUGAUAUUGAUAUAUCCAUGGCAUAUUAAUCCCAAUGUACUUCCUUCCAUUCCUUUACCUUUAGCCUCUCUAGGUCAUUGCAUUUUAGGCAUACUUCUUAUAAAUAACAUAUGGCUAAAUGUUUUUAUAUAGGAUAUAAGAACGGUGAUUUUUUUAAAAAUUUCAUUCAAUAAUAAACUUUAUUUCAUUUUUUAUUUUAUUCUCUUUUUCUUGGUCAUGCCCACGGCAUAAUUUAUUUGUAUCAUUUUGUUUUUCUUUUCUAUAUAUCUUCUUUGUUUCAGUUUACUUUUCUCUCUUCUCCAGCCUUCUAUUUACUAAUCCACUCCGUUUACAUUUUACUUUUCUCUUGUUAUAAAAAACACACAUUUUAUUUCUGUUGUUUUAAGUUGUUAGCCUUAAGAUUUUAAAUAACUGACUUAAAAUCUAAAUUUUGGCAGUAUCUCUACUCUCUUUUGGAUAAUUCAAAAACUUUAGAACACUGACAGAGAUCAUUUUCUUACAUUCUUAGAUGUCAAGUAUUUUAAUUCCACUUGGUUUUAUACCCCUCUGGAAUUAGCCACAAUUAUCGUUUUAUGCUGUCCAUGCUUAAAUUACUCAUGUAUUUACCAUUUUCUUUGUCACCACUGCUUUUUACAUCUCAUUCCUCCUGAGUUCAAUUCCUAUAAUUAUGAAGUAGUUCCAUUAAUAGUAACUCCACCACAUUUCUAUGACUGGUGAACUCUCAUUCUUUAUUUAUUUGAAAGUAUGUUCGGCAUUAAAUCAUGUACUUGUGUUAUGGUUUUCAGGUUUCUCUUCAUUUCUCACCCCAGAAACUAUGAACUCAACUAUGUACAUGAAGAAUUCUGUUAUAUCCAAUCCAACAUUACUAGAGGUUCAUUACAGCAGUAUUUCCAAUUCUCUUUACCAUUCUGCUGUCUAUUUUGGCCAUCUAUGUUUCACAGUAGACUGCGAGCUUCCCCAGGCUUCAACUAUGGUCAAGACUUCAUGGAAUCUGUGGCAGGGUCAUUCCAGGCAAUGAUAAAAGAAUGUUCAAAAUCAUGAAAUUUAAAAGUCUAAGAUGUUUUCUGGCAAUAGUCCAGUGUGGUUUAUGUUUUGGUUAUAUGAGGAUACGCAUAAGAAGCUAUGUCAGUUGACAACAAUGAUCUUCACUUCAUUCCAUAAUAAAGAAUUUGGAUUUAUCCACUAAUAAAAUUGAAGUCAUUAAGGAGAUUUAAAUGGUGGAACGUCAAUCUUAUUUGUGUUACAGGCUGAUCACUUCAGUUUCUCUGGGGCCAGAUUGAGUGUGAGAAAAAGUGGAUGUGGGGAGACUAAUGAGAUUACCACCAUAGUCCAGGAAAGAGUCAUUUUUCAUCAGCCUAUUUUCAGUACCACAGUCUGAUGUCUAGGUUUCUAGAGAGCAGAAGAGGUACUUCUUAGAAGUGUCCUGUGCACACAUAUACCACCACUUCCCCUAAAAUUUAAAUAAAACUUGGAAUGUUUAUGAAUUCAAUAAGUCAUUAAUCAAUGCCUAAUUGAUUUGACAAAACAAUGUACUAUUCCAUAGCCUCACCCUAGCUACAGCAUCAAGCCCUUAUGAAUCAUACUGAUGUUCCCAAUAGCAUGAAAAGAAAGUGAAGUUUAAAAUAAAUUAAAAAAUGAAAUCUUUAAGACAGCCUAAGUCAGAAAAGUAGCUAUAUGCUUGUUUGUGGAAAUGAUGAUCUUUCCAUUCCAGAGACUCUCUUCUAAGCUGCAUAGUUUUAGUAUACUGGGUCACUAAAUCAAUUGCCUGUAUGGACCGUUCACACCGUCUAUCAGUGAACUUACAAGAGCGUGAAAGUUCUACCUCCCAUUAAAUUAUUCUAAGAUCUAAAACAAAAUCCCCCCUUAUAUAAAACUUAUUACCUUCCUUAAGUAACCUGCAAUGGAUGAUUUUUACAGGAGAGAGACAGGCUAUUGAGAUUAGUCUGUUUUCUGAAAACACCCAUCUAUCCUCUAGUGAAUACCUUUCAGCAAACACUCAGGUUUGCCUUUCUCAAGCAAUUCCCUAGAUUGUCUGAUAGCACAGAGAUCUAGUGGUAUCUAACCUGUUUUAGUCUCUUCAAACAGAUAUUGAAGACAGGUGGAGUCCACACUGGUUGGCUCAGAAGGAAAAAAGAUAUAUAAAAAUAUACCCAGGUGGGCACAACAUGACAUUUUCUUUCAAAUGUUCUGUACUUGUGGUCUGCCAAACAUUUCAAGAAAAUUUUUCUACCUUCUUUGGACAAAGCUCUUCUGGGUAAAUGAGCUUCACAUACAACACUGAAUAGGAUAAAAGACUGAUAAGGUAUUAAGAAUUAGCAAGCAGGCUACUCAUAAAACUAUAACACAUAAAUCGCAGACUGUUUAUUCAGAUAAGAGCAUGCAAUGAUUUGUUUUUAAUUUUCUGAGAGGAAAAAUUCCCUUUCCAUGUCUCAUCCUUAUUUAUCCCUUUCAUUAUUUUUAAGGUUUGUAAACAAUGCAUUUUUUUUUCUGAUUUAGAAUGAUGGCCUUGUUACUUUUAGAUAAGUAUACCAUGCCAGGAAGAGAAUAAGAAUACUCUGCUAGCAAUGUGAGCGGUUCUUCCUGGAAAGAACAUGGCACACUCAGCUAGUUGUGAUGAUCAUGGAGAAAAAUCAGGUAUCCAUGGUCACCCUUGUGCGGCAGUCUGUGUUUUCAGUGGGUACAGAGCCACUGCCUGCUGGCACAGGGGUCUUUUCAGCCUCUCUUGAGAGGCUGUCUUCCAUAACUGCCACCCACUGAGGUACCCUAUCCUUUGUGCAGUCAUUUAGAAGAUCUGUAUUGUACUCUUAACAUUUACCUAGUUCCAGGGGCAGGUAUAAUAUGUUGGUUUGGAGCAAGUACUCUGGAGCAGGGCACUCAGGCUAGUUUCAAACCGACCUUGGGCAAUUUGCUUAAUCUCUGUGCCUUGCUCUUUUCAUCUGUAAAUUAGAGAGUAAAACUACCUCUUUGAGUUAUUUGUUGGGAUUAAUCACUUAAUGUACAGUCAGUGCUUUGAAAAGUACACAAAAGCUAAAACACUGCUUAUUACUGCUGACACCAUGUUAAUCACUGAGAAUACAGGUGUCAGGGUCCCUGUUCUCCGGAACCUCAAAAUCCACUUAGGGAAACGACGCCUAAACUGGCAUAACAAUAAAUUUUGACAAGUGUUUGACAUGGAAGUUCAAGGAGUUUAUAGAAACCCCUACAAGGGGGAUCUAACACAUUCUCAGAUGAAUCACUUUUCAAAAUGUCAUGAGAGCCAAGAUCUCUGAAGGACGAUUGGAGUUAAGAGAUCAGAUGCAUGUGGGAGUGUGUUCAUUUGUUAGGUUGAGUGGGGAGUUCGUGUGUAAAAAUCUGAAGGAAAUCUUGAUCUGGUGCAUGACAGGAAAUGAGAAAGUUUUACUGGGCUAGGCCAUAAACUGAGUGAGUUUGGGUGCUAGUGAACAUGUGGGGAGAAGAGCAAGAAAUGAAGAUGGAGAGGUAAAUAGAUAAGCCAAAACCUUAUAAACCUUUUACGAACAUGCUAACUUUGAUCAACUAUUAAGAGUUUGGAUUUUGCCAUGGGAUCAUUGACAAACCUCUG
RNAcentral lists this long non-coding RNA (4446 nucleotides) under Sus scrofa (pig). RNAcentral describes it as "lncRNA (multiple genes)". The record is from RNAcentral. Lineage: Eukaryota; Metazoa; Chordata; Mammalia; Artiodactyla; Suidae.